UCCUGCUCCAGGAGAGACGUGCUCAGCAUAGCACACCUGAUCAACCCAUCCAAGACGGAAAGUGCUGGAGACAGUCAUCUGCAGUGGCCUAACUGAAGCUUGUGCUAACAUGGGGAGCGCAGCUCAUUGUGUUCCCUCUUGUCUCCUGAACAGUGGCAACGGGGUCCACGCAGCCCACACUUUCUAUUUCUAGAACAUUUCUGUGAGAGGCUCCUUAAAGAACAAAGGUCUUGCUCAGGGCAAACUUCAAGGAAGUCAAGGUGAGAGAAGAUGAGCAAAAUGGGCGUUGCACGUUACCUUCAAGUGGCCCAAAGUAAUGAAGAAAUACUGACUGCCCAUUGCUAGAAUCAGAGAAAUUAAAAAUGAGUCUCUGCCUUGCCUUUGAGGAGCUAAAUAUAGUGGGAAAGGUA
Canis lupus familiaris (dog) is the source of this 410-nucleotide long non-coding RNA. RefSeq lists it as uncharacterized. The record is from RefSeq and is a predicted model, not a curated record. The transcript is spliced from 4 exons. NCBI's taxonomy places the organism in Eukaryota, Metazoa, Chordata, Mammalia, Carnivora, Canidae.